RNAcentral lists this ribosomal RNA (279 nucleotides) under uncultured bacterium. RNAcentral's name for it is "partial 16S ribosomal RNA". It matches the Rfam family "Bacterial small subunit ribosomal RNA", at positions 506 to 784 of the family's 1533-position model. The record is from RNAcentral.
UGCCAGCCGCCGCGGUAAUACGGAGGGAGCUAGCGUUGUUCGGAAUUACUGGGCGUAAAGCGCACGUAGGCGGCUUUGUAAGUUAGAGGUGAAAGCCUGGAGCUCAACUCCAGAAUUGCCUUUAAGACUGCAUCGCUUGAAUCCAGGAGAGGUGAGUGGAAUUCCGAGUGUAGAGGUGAAAUUCGUAGAUAUUCGGAAGAACACCAGUGGCGAAGGCGGCUCACUGGACUGGUAUUGACGCUGAGGUGCGAAAGCGUGGGGAGCAAACAGGAUUAGAUA